GGGGCCGACUUGGUUUCGACAGGGGUUGCA
This 30-nucleotide non-coding RNA is filed under the name fish metagenome. The record is from RNAcentral.